AUACCUUUCUCGGUAUUUUGGCUAAAAUAAGGUGUAAUUAUUGUUCUUAUCAGUUUAAUAUCUGAUAUAUGGACCAUAUGUUCACUUUGAUAUUAAAUUACGCACA
This 106-nucleotide small nuclear RNA is filed under the name Zea mays. RNAcentral describes it as "U2 spliceosomal RNA". It matches the Rfam family "U2 spliceosomal RNA". From Rfam's summary of the family: U2 is a small nuclear RNA (snRNA) component of the spliceosome (involved in pre-mRNA splicing). Lineage: Eukaryota; Viridiplantae; Streptophyta; Magnoliopsida; Poales; Poaceae. The record is from Rfam by way of RNAcentral.